This 240-nucleotide unclassified non-coding RNA is filed under the name soil metagenome. Its description in RNAcentral is "partial contains 5.8S ribosomal RNA, internal transcribed spacer 2, and large subunit ribosomal RNA". The record is from RNAcentral.
AACGCACGAGACCUGCGGACCUGCGGAGGGAUCAUCAAUGAGAAGCUGCCCCUCGUGGGUAGACCUCCCACCCUCUGUGAACUUACCUUUGUUGCUUUGGCAGGCCCGUCCUCUGGACCGCCGGCUUCGGCUGGCCCGUGCCUGCCAGAGGAUUCCAAACCCUGUCUGUCAGUGUUGUCUGAGUCUAUAUGAAAUCGUUAAAACUUUCAACAAUGGAUCUCUAGAUCGGAAGAGCACACG